Molecule: transfer RNA, 70 nt
Filed under: Dipodomys ordii (Ord's kangaroo rat)
Lineage: Eukaryota; Metazoa; Chordata; Mammalia; Rodentia; Heteromyidae
Rfam family: tRNA
About the family: Transfer RNA (tRNA) molecules are approximately 80 nucleotides in length.
Source: Rfam by way of RNAcentral
GGGACUGUAGCUUAGUGGUAGAGUGCUUAUCUUGCAUGCAUGAAGCCCUGGGUUCAAUUCCUCAGUACCC